CAGAGCAGAGAAAAAUGUUAGACACUUGCAUGCUUUGUUAUCAUGUAGAAUGUGAAGGUUUCAGUCCUUAUAUACUCCUUGAUACAAAAUAUCAGCUUAGUCACAACAUCACCAUGUAAUCCUAUCAAUGUUACCUCCUUUGCUGUUUGUAUCAUCUGAUAUAUUGCUCUAUGUCUAAAUCAUCAAAAGGACUAAUGGGAAAAAGAAUUUGGGAUUCUGUUGUCACAGACACGUGGAGAUCUGAGGUCCAGGUGAUUCUCACACUGUUCUUCUUGGAAAUGUUCACAGUGAUGAAGGUUUGUCCAUUC
Pelobates cultripes (western spadefoot toad) is the source of this 308-nucleotide non-coding RNA. The record is from the annotation of a GenBank genome assembly. Lineage: Eukaryota; Metazoa; Chordata; Amphibia; Anura; Pelobatidae.